GAGUGGGAGCAGGUGGGGAAGCAGCCUCGCUCCGACUUUCCUGGGCACCUGCUCCUUGCCGAGGACAUCAACAGGACCUCGGGGUCCAGCGAGGGAGAUGCUGAUGCCCACAAACAACCAACUCAGGUCCCCAGGAUCCAUACUGAAGAGGAAGCCCUGAAAGUUUUCUAGGAAGAUGUGGAGGGAUGCCGGAACAUGCCAGCCUUAGAGCAUCUUGGAGCAGGAGAGCCGGAUCUAGUUCCCAUCUCUGCUCUCUGCAGCCGGCCCCAGGAGAGGUUUAAGAGACAGCCCAGAGUGGACAUCUGGGAAGGGCGCCCGGUCGGCAGGAGCAGGCCCGGAGCUCUGCUGAGUCAGCGUGGGAGCGGUGAGGCUCUGGGCCCACCUCCUACCCGCACCUCCCAGCCUGCCUGUGCCCUCCGCCGCCAGCUGCCCAAAUGCUCUGUAACUUCCGGUGGAGACACGUGCAAGAGGUCUCUCUGGAUCAUGGGCCAGGGGAUGGGACCCACCCGGGCUCUGUCUCUUACAAACCAUGUGAACUUGAGCGUGUGGUUUGAGCCCUAUGGAACCUCAGUUUCCACAUCUACAAAAUGGGAAUGCUGCGGUGGCUAAACGAGGCACUUGAAGGAAAGCCACACAGUUAACUCAAAUGUCCCUCCAUGGGUGAAUGAAUAAAUAAAAUGUGGUC
Mustela erminea (ermine) is the source of this 685-nucleotide long non-coding RNA. RefSeq lists it as uncharacterized. The record is from RefSeq and is a predicted model, not a curated record. The transcript is spliced from 3 exons. NCBI's taxonomy places the organism in Eukaryota, Metazoa, Chordata, Mammalia, Carnivora, Mustelidae.